CCUACGGGAGGCAGCAGUGGGGAAUAUUGGGCAAUGGAGGAAACUCUGACCCAGCGACGCCGCGUGAGGGAUGAAGGCCUUCGGGUUGUAAACCUCUUUCAGUAGGGAAGAAGCGAAAGUGACGGUACCUACAGAAGAAGCACCGGCUAACUAUGUGCCAGCAGCCGCGGUAAUACAUAGGGUGCAAGCGUUGUCCGGAAUUAUUGGGCGUAAAGAGCUCGUAGGUGGUUUGAUACGUCGGGUGUGAAAUUCAGGGGCUCAACCCCUGACCUGCAUUCGAUACGGUCAAGCUGGAGUUUGGUAGGGGAGACUGGAAUUCCUGGUGUAGCGGUGGAAUGCGCAGAUAUCAGGAGGAACACCGAUGGCGAAGGCAGGUCUCUGGGCCAAUACUGACACUGAGGAGCGAAAGCGUGGGGAGCGAACAGGAUUAGAUACCCUGGUAGUCCACGCCGUAAACGAUGGGCGCUAGUUGUGCGAACCUUCCACGGUUUGUGCGACGCAGCUAACGCAUUAAGCGCCCCGCCUGGGGAGUACGAUCGCAAGAUUAAAACUCAAAGGAAUUGACGG
RNAcentral lists this ribosomal RNA (567 nucleotides) under uncultured Actinomycetes bacterium. RNAcentral's name for it is "bacterial SSU rRNA". It matches the Rfam family "Bacterial small subunit ribosomal RNA", at positions 338 to 916 of the family's 1533-position model. The record is from RNAcentral. Lineage: Bacteria; Bacillati; Actinomycetota; Actinomycetes.